UACGGAGGAUCCGAGCGUUAUCCGGAUUUAUUGGGUUUAAAGGGUGCGUAGGCGGCCUAUUAAGUCAGGGGUGAAAUACGGUGGCUCAACCAUCGCAGUGCCUUUGAUACUGAUGGGCUUGAAUCCAUUUGAAGUGGGCGGAAUAAGACAAGUAGCGGUGAAAUGCAUAGAUAUGUCUUAGAACUCCGAUUGCGAAGGCAGCUCACUAAGCUGGUAUUGACGCUGAUGCACGAAAGCGUGGGGAUCGAACAGGAUUAGAUACCCUGGUAGUCCACGCCCUAAACGAUGAUAACUCGAUGUUGGCGAUAGACAGCCAGCGUCCCAGCGAAAGCGUUAAGUUAUCCACCUGGGGAGUACGCCCGCAAGGGUGAA
Molecule: ribosomal RNA, 372 nt
Filed under: uncultured bacterium
Lineage: Bacteria
Description: bacterial SSU rRNA
Rfam family: Bacterial small subunit ribosomal RNA
Source: RNAcentral